This 466-nucleotide ribosomal RNA is filed under the name uncultured bacterium. RNAcentral's name for it is "partial 16S ribosomal RNA". It matches the Rfam family "Bacterial small subunit ribosomal RNA", at positions 28 to 507 of the family's 1533-position model. The record is from RNAcentral.
GACGAACGCUGGCGGCGUGCUUAACACAUGCAAGUCGAACGGAAAGGCCCUGCUUGCAGGGUACUCGAGUGGCGAACGGGUGAGUAACACGUGGGUGAUCUGCCCUGCACUUCGGGAUAAGCUUGGGAAACUGGGUCUAAUACCGGAUAGGAACCAUCUUGAGUGUGGUGGUUGGAAAGUUUUUUCGGUGUAGGAUGAGCUCGCGGCCUAUCAGCUUGUUGGUGGGGUAAUGGCCUACCAAGGCGGCGACGGGUAGCCGGCCUGAGAGGGUGUACGGCCACAUUGGGACUGAGAUACGGCCCAGACUCCUACGGGAGGCAGCAGUGGGGAAUAUUGCACAAUGGGCGCAAGCCUGAUGCAGCGACGCCGCGUGGGGGAUGAAGGCCUUCGGGUUGUAAACUCCUUUCGCUAGGGACGAAGCUUUGUUGUGACGGUACCUAGAUAAGAAGCACCGGCUAACUACGUG